This is a non-coding RNA of Sebastes umbrosus (honeycomb rockfish), 539 nucleotides long. NCBI's taxonomy places the organism in Eukaryota, Metazoa, Chordata, Actinopteri, Perciformes, Sebastidae. The record is from the annotation of a RefSeq genome assembly.
GUAUCACUGUGGUACACUUUUGGUGGAGGAACCAAACUCAUCAUUAACUCUGGCACCAUGGUCAGGCCCUCAGUCUCUCUGCUUCCCCCCUCCUCUGAGCAGCUCUCUGGGGGCUCGGCCACGCUGGCCUGCCUGCUGACCGGCUACUCUCCUCAGGGAGCCGUGGUGAGCUGGCAGGUGGACGGUACGGAGGUGACGGAGGGGGUCCUGAGCAGCUCAGAGGAGGAGAAGAGCGGCCGCUACAGCAGCAGCAGCACCCUGAGCCUGAGCCAGGAGCGCUGGAUGGAAGGAGAGCUGUACUCCUGCAGGGUCCUCCAUCAGGGCCACAGCCAGACCCAGUCCCUCCACAGGAGCCAGUGUAAGGGCUAGAGGGGCCGGCUGAAGCCCAGGACAGGAGCUCUGUGUGGGGGGGAGCAGCUCUGAUCAAUAGCAGUUUGAAUGCUUGUAGAGGAAACUGAAGCUUUGUGUGACAGAGAACAACACUGCUGUAAAGUGUUGGACAACAACAACUUAGAGAGGAAUGUGUGUCGCUCAGCAGC